Molecule: long non-coding RNA, 4884 nt
Organism: Aphis gossypii (cotton aphid)
Lineage: Eukaryota; Metazoa; Arthropoda; Insecta; Hemiptera; Aphididae
Exons: 3
Source: RefSeq, a predicted model, not a curated record
ACUUAGAUUGCAUUUGAAGUUCAUGAUGGUUUCGCAGUAGUACGCACUUAACUGUGGCCUAGACAAUAAAUAAAUAGCGGUGCAUUUUUAUUGCGAAUUUGUUUAAAUAUCUUUCAGGAGAGUUGAAGCUUAUUGCGGGAUGUUGAGAAAAUAUCAUAAUAACGAUAAACGUGAGCCGACGAGGUGUUAUGGUAAUAAAAAUUACAUCUUACACAUUCAUGCAGUCGAUAAAAUCCAACAUACAAGUCAAAAGACUAGCUUUAUUUUCUACAGAAUAAUUAUUCACAAUCAGUUCAUUGAUUUGCCCGUGUAAAUAUUUAUUUAAACGUUUUUAUCGUAUUUGGAACAAAACUGGUUCUUGUAAUAACAAUUUAUUUAAGGCAACCAGUUAUUUAUUAGUUAAAUCGCAUAUAGAAUAAUAUAGAAUAAAUAGAUUCAGCUCAUCAAAUUUUCUUCAAACCAAUUGUCCAAAAAAAUCACAUAAGAUAAAAUACUAUAUUGAAUAAAUUUUAUCGUUAGUAUAAUUGGAUUAUUAAGUUAAGAUGAAUAUUAUCUUAUUUUUAAAAGAUUUUACUUAAAUACACAUAUGAGUUUUUUAGUUAUAAUAUUUUACCACUAUACAAAAACUGUAUAACCUAUAUCAAGAAACAUUAGUAUUGAUACACGUUAUACACCUUCACAUAGUUGGAUGAUAAAAGUAUCAAGUUAAACAAAUAAAUUAUAAAAUAUAAUUUAUAAAAACAGUGCGUUAUUUAAAAUAAAUAAAUAAUAUACAUUAUUGUUUUAUAUUUAUAGCAAAUUAAUAAUCUGUGAACAAUAAUUUGGCUGUUUGGUGAUAUGGUUAAAAAAGUAAGUAGUAUAUAAGAUACAGUUUUACAAUGAAAAAAAAUUUAUCUAAUAAAACAUAUUUAAAAUUAUCUGCCCUCGUCGAAUUUUAUAUCAAAGUAAUAAUAUAAUUUUAAAUUAUAUCUAUGACAUUAAUGCAUUUUAUUAAUAAACAUUUAGGUGUAUUAUUGUGUCAUUUAUAUAUUUUAACAAUAGGUUUUUUUUAUUUCAAAUUAAGGUAUAAUAAUAAUAAGAUACAACAAAUUAUUAUGGUAAGUAGGUAAUUGAACUACCACCGUCCACAUUAUUUCAUUAUAAGCAUAGAAAUAAAUCACAUGUGCUAUAAAUUACUUUGGUGAACAAUAAUAUUAUAUUUUACAUCUUUAUGAUAAACAAAUAGCCUGCAGUCUUGUUCGUUCAGAUCACGAGCACCACCUGACACAUACCUAUACAUACAUAUAUAUAUAUAUAUAUAUAUAUAUAGUAUUUACAUUAUGAUAUUUUAUGUUUUGUAUUGAUGAUAAUUUAUGUUCAAGACUUAUUGAAAUCUAAAUACCCGAAAGCCACGCGAUUGAAUAUGUAAAAGACAAGAGGGAGAGAGACAGGUAAAAAACAAAUAUGGAAAUAAAAAAAAUAAAAUGUCUUAGAAUAAUCCGAGUGGUAGUGAUUACCAUUCGAACUCAAUAAUUACUUAUUAAUUCUUAAACAAAAGAGAAUUAUUUAAAGAGAUAAUUUGUUUCUAAGUGAUAAUAAAAAUUAAAAAAAAAAAAUAUAAGUACAAACACGUCUAGCUCUAAUAGUUAAUAGGUUUGAAUAAAAUUUAUUUUUAUUAUUCCAAUAAACGAGUUAAAAUCGUCAUGUUUAAGAUAGUGGACAAUAAAAACAAUGAUUUAUAACUUAGUUAACUAUGCCAUUAUUGUAUACCCCUACCACUCGUGUGCACCCGUCAGACGUAGGUAGAUAUAACAACAGUUAAAUAACACUACAUGUACAACAAUUGUCUGCGGAAUAUAUACCUAUAAUAGUGAAUAAUGAAUACAUGUACAUCUACUUAUGACAACGGCCCGUUAAACUUCCUCUUCUAUUUUUUGUUUUUACUUAUUACGUUUCUAUACUCAAUAUGCUCCUUAUAAUUAAAGUAAAAUACUUUAAAUCUUAAAGGACAUAAAAAUUGUUGAUCAUCUGCCUAUAAGUAUAUUUUACUGCUUUAGUAGUUUAGUGAAUACGCAUAAAGAUUAUACUAUGCGUUUCAUUUAAAUUCUAGUCAGUAUAGCGAUAAUAUUUUCCGUGGUCAGUGAUUUCCCAGUGGAGAUACUUUUUCAAGAUGCUAGAAAGUUACAAAAGAUCAUACAUCACUUUAAUCUCAUCAAUAAUUUUUAUUUCGAAGAGAUGAUUUUUUAUAGCCAGGAUGUUGAAGUAUAUAUUUUUUCUUAAUUGAUUUUUAUUAUUUUUUUAAUGAUAAUAUGUAUAUCAUUGUUAUUCCUAUGUUAUUUAUAUUUUUACUGCGGAACCAUUUUAAGAAAUGUUAUAAUUUUUACAGUAAUUUACCCAUAUCAUUUUAUUAGACGACUAGCUUUAUUUAUUACAUUUUAUUUUACAUAUUUGAUAAUCAAGUUAUUUCAAUCAAUUCAAUGUUUUAAUCAAAUUUAAUUUAUAUCAAUGCAUGAGCUACCGGGAUUUCCAGUUCUCCGUAAUGUAAGCUAUAGGAAAGACCACCACAGAGACACGUUCUGUUUUUAUUUAUUACAUUCUACCAAUAAUUUUAAAUAAAUAAAAUAUUCUACAUUUUCGUUAAUUGUAGUGUAAAUAAUACUAAUAAAUAACAGUAAAUAUUAUUAGUUUAUAUAAUUGCCACUUCAUGUUUUCAUUAUUUUUUUUAUGCCAUAUCAGUUUCCCUCGAGCGAUACCAGUUAUUUAAUAACUUGUCAGAUGAAUAUCUUGAUAGUAUAAUAUAUAAAUACAUUUGUCCAAUAUAUUAUUAUAAUGGAAUAGAAAAAUGAACGUUUCUUCAAUACUGAUGAUUGCCAAUGGAGUUGUGGAGAGAAGAUAAAUAUAAAUUAAUCAUACUGCAUUUUAUUAUUUUGGAUAUAAUAUUUGGUUUCCAAUAAAACAAAGGAGUAGCCUGCUGAAUGCUGAUUAAAUUUGAAUUAAAUAUUUUUCAUGAAUAAUUAAGACAUUUUAUUUAAAAAAAAUUCCACUUGGAUUAACUUCACAUACUGUAUCGUCAAUGAUAAUUCUUGAUUAUUAUAGUAAAGUAAAAAUAUGCUACUUAUAACCAGCUGAAAAUUAAAUUUUAACAACACGAAUAAGACAUAUACAAAUCUAAAUAAAUGAUAAUAGAGCUGUUAGACAAGUUAGUGUAGUUUAUGCAGUAUUUUAGGAAUCAUUUAGUGAAUACUAUAUGUAUAAAUAUCUUUUUAAUUAUUAUGUUUUAAAAUUUUAAAUUAAUUAUAUUGAUAUUUUAACAUAUGAAUCUUUGUAACUUUAAUUAAUUAUUUUAUUAUAUGUUUAUUUCAAGGAUCGGAUAAAAUUUUUUUUUUCGAAAUAAUGAGAAAAAAUAUUUUAUGUUUUGAAUGAACCAAUGAAUUGACAUGUUACAACUAUGUGUGUUUUUUGUGUCUCGAAUAUUUAAUACAAGAUUCAAGAUGAUAUACGUAUAACAUUAAAAGUGCACAUGCACAAUAUUUUAAAUGCAUUUUAAGUUCAAAGUUAGACGAAAUUAUAAAUUUUAAGUAUGAAUAAUAAUUAUUUUAUUAUAAUACAAAAAUAUUAUUCAUGGGAACUUUUUACUUUUACAUAUUAUAAUACUACGGAUUUUACUUUACGUAGGUAAUAACAAUUUUAAAAUAUAUAGAUUAAUUUAAAGAUAUUACUUUUUUAUCUGUCUCUGUUCAGAAUUAUUUUUCAUAUAUAAUGAUAUAUCAUUGAAUUUUAAAUUUAACGCAUCGAUUUUAAAUGACCCCUCAGAUAACAACUCCACAACAGAGUGUUUUAAGCAGUUACUCACCUUUAUUUUGUAUGGUGUCUCCAACAUUGCAAUUGUAGUUAAUACAUUUUAAUAAAGUAUUUAGAAAAAUAUACUCUAAACAUACAUAUAAUUAAAAUAUAUAAAUAAUAUUUAAUUAAGUAUAAUGGUUCCAAAUGAUUAAUUUUUAUGUAGAGUUUGGAAGAAAAUAAUUAUUGAAAACGUUUAAUUAAUACAAAUAUUUUUUAGUUAAUAAAAAAAUACUUUUAGGCCAUGGAAGGUACUUUUUAUAUAAUAAAUAUACAUUUGUUUUAAACGUAGAAUAAAUUAUUUAAAAACUCAUAUCUCAUAAGUAUUUAUUAGACGUAUUUCCGGGCUUCAGGCUAUAGAUUAUAAACAUAAUUAUGUAAAUAUUCUUUAACAAUAUUAUGUCGUCAUAAUCAAAUAUUAUUUCCUUUUCAUAACUUUCCGACAACAUUUAUGUAUAAUCAAUGAUACACUACUUGUAAUGUUACUAUAUAGUACUUUAUGAAAUAUACAUUUUUCCCCCUUUUUUAAAUUGUAUUGUGUAAAUAAUAGUAUAUGUUUGUUUUAACUCCAGAUAAGAAGUAACCAUUAAAUGAUAACCAUUUAAAUUAGUUCAGAAUGGUGUGAUAUAUAUUUACGUCAGAAAUAAGAUGCGCGUAAAGCGUAGUGGUAGUAUAUAAUAUUAUGUAGAUUGGUAAAUUUCGGUCGUAAGCCACUAACCAAACAUAUUAUAUUAUAUAAUAAUAUAUAAUUUAUAAGUAUAUAAUUCGAUAUAGAUAAUAUUUCUGUUCAAUAUAUCUUUUAUAACUCAAUUAACUACUCAAAAAUUAUAGACUCAACCGUCUCAUCAUCCAGUUUUUAACGUAGUUAUGAUUAAUAGGUAAUUGUGUAUUAUGAUGAAAUUAACAAAAAACCUACAGUAGGUAAGUAUAUGUUUUUUUAGUUUGCAAAACCAAUAAAUAAAAUUAUUGUAUAACAUUUUUUUUCUAGAUUAAGUAAGAAAAACUUACUGCUUUAAUUUAAUUAAAAAUUUGUUUAUGAAAUUACUUAAAUGAAAUAUUUAUUUG